Sebastes umbrosus (honeycomb rockfish) is the source of this 673-nucleotide long non-coding RNA. RefSeq lists it as uncharacterized. NCBI's taxonomy places the organism in Eukaryota, Metazoa, Chordata, Actinopteri, Perciformes, Sebastidae. The record is from RefSeq and is a predicted model, not a curated record. The transcript is spliced from 3 exons.
UCACCCCGUCUCUCUUUCGUCUCCCAAGACCCAAAUCCCAUUUCCCAAUUUUUUUUUCUCUCUAAUUGGCUCUGUGAAUGUUGCUGCAGGGCAGAACGCACCAGUCCAGCCUCCAAGCUCCCCUUUCUCUGACACAACACUAUGUGGACUGGGGCGGACCACAAACAAGAAAAACUGCACGGAACAAGCAUACGCCCCGUGCAGCUUUAGACUGGAACAAUGGGUGUUGAUCUGAACCUGAGGAGCACAACAGCAAAUCACCAGAAAUGGCACUCACCUGGAUCUGGAGCAUCUGGCUGAAGGGCGGGGAAGUCAUUAUCAAAAAGAAACGUGCUCUCAUAUUCUGGAUUUACCUGGAGAAAAACAGACACAGAGAUAUCAAACAAUGGGAGAAAACAACCCAAAAUCUAUUUUGUGGUCCAAAGCGGCUAUCGUUUAUGGCAUAUGUUUGGUAGCUGCAUGUGUCCAGAUAUGUAUCAAACAUUCCCUGUGCAAUAAAUAAUAUGGGUAAAUUAUGCUUUUUAUGAAAUGGUUUAUUAUAUGAUUAAUAGCCACCCACUGCAUAGAACCCCCUUGACUGCAGAGCAGUAGGCUAUGGAUGAAACAACAAGUUUGGGUUUACUGCUUGCUGCCAUCGUCUCAGUUGUUGGAGGCCUAUAUAUGUAUGCAUUGU